GCUACAUGUCACAGGAGUAAGGAAGGGCUAACAAGAACAAAGAGAUUUACAUGCGCGGAAGCGCAGGUAACGGGCGCUACCCUCGCCCGUCAGAGGAAUCGGCUUGGGAUGACGUCAUGCACCCUGAUCGGGAAGCUGUAGAACUCGUCGUUUCUAGGAUCUGAGUAACCUUUCCGACGGUGCAGGAACGGCAUGAACCAUGGAAGCCCCCGGUCGUUUUCGUAGCCUCUAAACUCCAGUGUGUUGUCCAGGAUCGAUGCGACAAUCAGUGACACUGUCGGGCCAGAGGCGAAGACUGUGUUUAUGAUGAAUAUACCCAUCCAGCAUUUGUUCGGGCAGGUCCAGUGCUAGCAGAAGCAGUAUACUCAUGGAAGUAUUGAGGAACCGAGAUGCCUAGGAACAGCGAAAGUCCAAUGAUGUAUAUGUUCCUCAUCGAAUUUUUGUUUACAAAUUGCAUGUACGAGACUCCCACCGCAGCUACAAUACCAAAUAAGAUACAGAAAAUUGCUGCGAAGAUUGGCAAUGGAAUAGAUGCAAAGAAAGCACCAAACUUCCCUGCAUGAAUAGAAAAGAAAAUCAUAAAUCCAGUUGAUAUCUGGAUCACUCUCCUGCUUCCAACUUUUGUUAGUCCAAGAAGCCCAAUGUUUUCACUGCAUUAUAUUAAAGGCAAGGGAAUAUAAAAUCUUAUAUUGAACAAAACUCACCUGCAAACCAACACUCCUACUAAGGACACUAGCUGGAGGUGGUGUCGCACCAGCUAGACGUGCAGUUGCAAAGUGUGCACCAGUGGACUCAAAAGCAGAAACAAGUACAGCACCCAUCAUUCCAAAUGAAUGACCUGCAGUGAAGAUUGGUGUACCCCAUUGGAAGGGGUAUGGGAUUUUGAUCCUAGUAGAGCAUGUAUGUAAAGGGACUUGUCAGUGCGGCAGUGCUGCUGGGUCUUGAGUGAAACAUGGUUGUAUGCACCAGCAGCAGUAAGGAUAGCUGCAAAGGCCCACACAAUCCCAAUACAAAGAAGCAACGAAUACCUCUCAAACAAGAAGGUGAUUCGCUCAUGGUAAUGAUGGAAGUAAUAUGGCACAUACUGCAUACACAGCAUAGUAAAUAGUAAGUUUCGUAGUAUAUCACCGAGAUCGUACCUGGGGAAAGCCAAGUGCAAAUAGCCCAAGACCAACAACGCAAACAACAGGGGUCAUUAUUACAGGACUAAAUUUCUGGCGAAUGCCCCCCAAAUUGUGCUGAACCCAAGAAUCAUGUUGAGGAUAGAAGCAACAAUCAGAGCCCCUUGAGUUGCUCUCAUUGUGUGAGUAAAUCUCUGCAAAAUCCCUAAUAGUUAUUUUGUUCAAAGUCUUUGGCUAUUGACAGUACUGGGACGACAAAUGCAAAGGAAGCAUUCAUAACUGUAGGGAGCCGCGUUCCAACAAGUGUUUGGAGGAGAGUAUUGAUGCCACUCAUAAAUAGGAAGGAUUGAAUAACACGAGCCUUAUCCCCCUAUUAGCAACAAGCGGGAAAAGGAACAAUAGUUGAUGCAAGCAUGACAGUAGAACCCAGCAUCACAAGAUAGUGGAGGAAUGCAAGUGCGGCCACCUGAACUGAAGGAAGGGUUGGAGUGGACGCAGUAGGCGAGAUGGUGGAACUGCUCGUGCGGCGGGAAGACGGCGCCGGUGCCGACGGGCGGAUGCAUGAUUGGCUGCAUCACCAUCGGCGGCGGCACGGCCACCGGCGGCGGCGGCGGCUGGUUCAUCUCCCCCAUU
Molecule: small RNA, 1754 nt
Filed under: Oryza sativa Japonica Group (Japanese rice)
Lineage: Eukaryota; Viridiplantae; Streptophyta; Magnoliopsida; Poales; Poaceae
Description: sRNA Os12g0584050
Source: RNAcentral